UUCAUGGGACAACAGAAUCAAGUAGCAGCUGUGGCAGAAACUAUAUGACUCGUAAAGCCUAAAAAAGCCUAAAAAAUGUUCACUGUCUCUAUAGAAAAGUUUGCCAAUCCCUGGUACAGUGAAUUAUUAUAGAAUAUCAAAUUUUUCUUUUAAUAUUUACAUUGGAAUGAGGAAGAGAGAAGUAAAGGAAAGAAAAAAA
Molecule: long non-coding RNA, 199 nt
Organism: Herpailurus yagouaroundi (jaguarundi)
Lineage: Eukaryota; Metazoa; Chordata; Mammalia; Carnivora; Felidae
Exons: 2
Source: RefSeq, a predicted model, not a curated record